GAUGAACGCUGGCGGCGUGCCUAAUACAUGCAAGUCGAGCGAACAGACGAGGAGCUUGCUCCUUUGACGUUAGCGGCGGACGGGUGAGUAACACGUGGGUAACCUACCUAUAAGACUGGGAUAACUUCGGGAAACCGGAGCUAAUACCGGAUAAUAUUUCGAACCGCAUGGUUCGAUAGUGAAAGAUGGCUUUGCUAUCACUUAUAGAUGGACCUGCGCCGUAUUAGCUAGUUGGUAAGGUAACGGCUUACCAAGGCAACGAUACGUAGCCGACCUGAGAGGGUGAUCGGCCACACUGGAACUGAGACACGGUCCAGACUCCUACGGGAGGCAGCAGUAGGGAAUCUUCCGCAAUGGGCGAAAGCCUGACGGAGCAACGCCGCGUGAGUGAUGAAGGCCUUCGGAUCGUAAAACUCUGUUAUUAGGGAAGAACAAACGUGUAAGUAACUGUGCACGUCUUGACGGUACCUAAUCAGAAAGCCACGGCUAACUACGUG
RNAcentral lists this ribosomal RNA (497 nucleotides) under uncultured bacterium. RNAcentral describes it as "partial 16S ribosomal RNA". It matches the Rfam family "Bacterial small subunit ribosomal RNA", at positions 28 to 507 of the family's 1533-position model. The record is from RNAcentral.